Molecule: ribosomal RNA, 475 nt
Filed under: uncultured bacterium
Lineage: Bacteria
Description: bacterial SSU rRNA
Rfam family: Bacterial small subunit ribosomal RNA
Source: RNAcentral
AUCCUGGCUCAGAUUGAACGCUGGCGGCAUGCUUUACACAUGCAAGUCGAACGGCAGCACAGGGAGCUUGCUCCCGGGUGGCGAGUGGCGCACGGGUGAGUAAUACAUCGGAACGUGUCCUGUUGUGGGGGAUAACUGCUCGAAAGGGUGGCUAAUACCGCAUGAGACCUGAGGGUGAAAGCGGGGGAUCGCAAGACCUCGCGCAAUUGGAGCGGCCGAUGCCCGAUUAGCUAGUUGGUGAGGUAAAGGCUCACCAAGGCGACGAUCGGUAGCUGGUCUGAGAGGACGACCAGCCACAUUGGGACUGAGACACGGCCCAGACUCCUACGGGAGGCAGCAGUGGGGAAUAUUGCACAAUGGAGGAAACUCUGAUGCAGCGACGCCGCGUGAGCGAAGAAGUAUUUCGGUAUGUAAAGCUCUGUCAGCAGGGAAGAUAAUGACGGUACCUGACCAAGAAGCCCCGGCUAACUACGUG